RNAcentral lists this ribosomal RNA (497 nucleotides) under uncultured bacterium. RNAcentral describes it as "partial 16S ribosomal RNA". It matches the Rfam family "Bacterial small subunit ribosomal RNA", at positions 28 to 507 of the family's 1533-position model. The record is from RNAcentral.
GAUGAACGCUGGCGGCGUGCCUAAUACAUGCAAGUCGAGCGAACAGACGAGGAGCUUGCUCCUCUGACGUUAGCGGCGGACGGGUGAGUAACACGUGGAUAACCUACCUACAAGACUGGGAUAACUUCGGGAAACCGGAGCUAAUACCGGAUAAUAUAUUGAACCGCAUGGUUCAAUAGUGAAAGACGGUUUUGCUGUCACUUAUAGAUGGAUCCGCGCCGCAUUAGCUAGUUGGUAAGGUAACGGCUUACCAAGGCAACGAUGCGUAGCCGACCUGAGAGGGUGACCGGCCACACUGGAACUGAGACACGGUCCAGACUCCUACGGGAGGAAGCAGUAGGGAAUCUUCCGCAAUGGGCGAAAGCCUGACGGAGCAACGCCGCGUGAGUGAUGAAGGUCUUCGGAUCGUAAAACUCUGUUAUUAGGGAAGAACAAAUGUGUAAGUAACUAUGCACGUCUUGACGGUACCUAAUCAGAAAGCCACGGCUAACUACGUG